CCUACGGGAGGCAGCAGUGGGGAAUUUUGGACAAUGGGCGAAAGCCUGAUCCAGCAAUGCCGCGUGAGUGAAGAAGGCCUUCGGGUUGUAAAGCUCUUUUGUCAGGGAAGAAACGGUGAGAGCUAAUAUCUCUUGCUAAUGACGGUACCUGAAGAAUAAGCACCGGCUAACUACGUGCCAGCAGCCGCGGUAAUACGUAGGGUGCAAGCGUUAAUCGGAAUUACUGGGCGUAAAGCGUGCGCAGGCGGUUUUGUAAGUCUGAUGUGAAAUCCCCGGGCUCAACCUGGGAAUUGCAUUGGAGACUGCAAGGCUAGAAUCUGGCAGAGGGGGGUAGAAUUCCACGUGUAGCAGUGAAAUGCGUAGAUAUGUGGAGGAACACCGAUGGCGAAGGCAGCCCCCUGGGUCAAGAUUGACGCUCAUGCACGAAAGCGUGGGGAGCAAACAGGAUUAGAUACCCUGGUAGUCCACGCCCUAAACGAUGUCUACUAGUUGUCGGGUCUUAAUUGACUUGGUAACGCAGCUAACGCGUGAAGUAGACCGCCUGGGGAUACGGUCGCAAGNUUAAAACGUCAAAUGAAUUGACGG
RNAcentral lists this ribosomal RNA (585 nucleotides) under uncultured bacterium. RNAcentral describes it as "bacterial SSU rRNA". It matches the Rfam family "Bacterial small subunit ribosomal RNA", at positions 338 to 916 of the family's 1533-position model. The record is from RNAcentral.